This 467-nucleotide ribosomal RNA is filed under the name uncultured bacterium. Its description in RNAcentral is "partial 16S ribosomal RNA". It matches the Rfam family "Bacterial small subunit ribosomal RNA", at positions 28 to 507 of the family's 1533-position model. The record is from RNAcentral.
GAUGAACGCUGGCGGCGUGCUUAACACAUGCAAGUCGAACGGAAAGGCCCAAGCUUGCUUGGGUACUCGAGUGGCGAACGGGUGAGUAACACGUGGGUGAUCUGCCCUGCACUUUGGGAUAAGCCUGGGAAACUGGGUCUAAUACCGGAUAGGACCACUUCUUGGAUGUUGUGGUGGAAAGUUUUUUCGGUGUGGGGUGGGCUCGCGGCCUAUCAGCUUGUUGGUGGGGUAAUGGCCUACCAAGGCGUCGACGGGUAGCCGGGCUGGGAGGGGGUACGGCCACAUUGGGACUGGGAAAAGGCCCAGACUCCUACGGGAGGCAGCAGGGGGGAAUAUUGCACAAUGGGCGCGAGCCUGAUGCAGGGACGCCGCGUGGGGGAAGACGGCCUUCGGGUUGUAAACUCCUUUCGCUAGGGACGAAGCGCUUUGUGACGGUACCUGGAGAAGAAGCACCGGCUAACUACGUG